RNAcentral lists this ribosomal RNA (483 nucleotides) under uncultured bacterium. Its description in RNAcentral is "bacterial SSU rRNA". It matches the Rfam family "Bacterial small subunit ribosomal RNA", at positions 791 to 1277 of the family's 1533-position model. The record is from RNAcentral.
UAGUCCACGCCGUAAACGAUGGUCACUAGCUGUUUGACAUUUAUGUUAAGUGGCUAAGCGAAAGUGAUAAGUGACCCACCUGGGGAGUACGUUCGCAAGAAUGAAACUCAAAGGAAUUGACGGGGGCCCGCACAAGCGGUGGAGCAUGUGAUUUAAUUCGAUGAUACGCGAGGAACCUUACCAGGGCUUAAAUGUAGUGGGACAGCUUUAGAGAUAGAGCCUUCUUCGGACUCAUUACAAGGUGCUGCAUGGUUGUCGUCAGCUCGUGCCGUGAGGUGUCAGGUUAAGUCCUAUAACGAGCGCAACCCCUGUUGUUAGUUGCCAACGAGUAAUGUCGGGAACUCUAGCAAGACUGCCGGUGCAAACCGCGAGGAAGGUGGGGAUGACGUCAAAUCAUCACGGGCCCUUACGUCCUGGGGCCACACACGUGCUACAAUGGCCGGUACAAUGGGUUGCCAAAUCGCAAGAUGGAGCCAAUCCCCC